AGACUAUGACUCCAGGACGGCUCUGCACGUGGCAGCAGCAGAAGGACAUGUGGAGGUGGUGGGUUUCCUACUUGAUGCUUGUAAAGUGAACCCUGUCCCCAGAGACAGAUGGGGAAACACUCCGCUGGAUGAAGCGAUUCACUUCGGCCACAAAGCAGUGAUCGAAUUACUGCAGCAGUUUCAGGAUAAGCACAGUACGCCCCCCUGUGGUCGUGACCCGCAUCGUGAAGAGAAGAGCCUGGACAGCCUCUACUAGAGCAAUGCACACGUCCUUUAUAUUUAUAUCAAGCAACAGUAGUUUUAUUCACACCCAGCAGCAGCGAUGGGACUGAGGUUUGAUCAAACGUCUGUGAUUUCACCGCACAAAAUGAACGUCUACAAUUUGAGUUGAAAGUGCAUUUAAGAAGUUUAGAUUAUUUUUAUUUUAAGCUUUUAUUGUGUAGAUUUAUGUAAGAUAUUACUGCAUAGUUUCUGUAUUUUUAUGUAUUUAUUUCGUAGUAUAGUUCACACUGGUCCCUGGUUUAUCUCGAGGGUCACGAUCUAAAAAUAACCAGCGAAAAUUGUGAAGUAUCAGCUUUAUUUUUACAUUAUUCUCUAUGUUUUUGUCUGUAAAACCCCUCACCACACACUUUAUACACUUUUC
This is a long non-coding RNA of Periophthalmus magnuspinnatus, 643 nucleotides long. RefSeq lists it as uncharacterized. The record is from RefSeq and is a predicted model, not a curated record. The transcript is spliced from 3 exons. NCBI's taxonomy places the organism in Eukaryota, Metazoa, Chordata, Actinopteri, Gobiiformes, Gobiidae.